ACAGGUGUGCAAAGAGCACAGACUUGGAAAAAGGGGGGCGUGCGCUCUCUUGUGUCUUUCAUCUUGCAUUUUAACUAAUUGAAUUUCAUUUUAAAAACUAUCAGACUAACUAAAAGGGGGCCCAUUUUCCACAUCUUGGUUUCCUCAACUAAUAGUCUGGUACUGAAAUCAUCAUGGAGUCCCCAGAGGACACUCGGGUCCCAUCUUGUUCAUCUCCCUAAAUACAGCGCAGAUGGCCUCACCCCUGCUGAAGAAACAGGUGGGAUCCCAAGACUCCCAAAGGCUAGCACGGACUUCUUUCUAGGUCUAUUUGACUUUCCAAGGUUUCGACUGGAAGCUAAUUGAAGACAAAGGGGAGACACCAUUCUGAGACCACUUUCCCACAACCCUCCAUGAUGGCAGCCAGUGUUCCAUAAAUGUCUGUGCAGAGAGAGGCCAUUAUACCAUGUACUGGCGCUUAUGUUGAAAGAGUGACCCAGACCACGUUCACCCUUCAGACAUGCCUCUGAGGAUGCAGUGUUCCAGGCGCCAUCUUGGAAGCAGAGAUCAGACACCCAACCUGCCAGUACCCUGAUCUUGGACUUUCCAGGUUCCACAACUCCUGCUCUGCAGCUAGGAGGCACCGAUGGAAUCCAAGGCUCUUUCCUGUGAAGUGCUGCAAACUACCUCCCCCCAAACCUCUGUAAUGGGAGCAAAUCCUCUGUAGAACACACUUCAUGAAAUCCUGAUGUAAUCCUUGGGGGAAAGCUGAGGAGUUGAACCCUUUCCCUUCCUCUUGGGUAUGUAGAGAAAGAAAGACCAGUGGAGUAUGCCAGACCUCCCAUCCAUCACCAGCAGCCCCACAUCCUGUCCUGGAGAGGAGCAUCAAUGACGCAGGCUUGCAAAUGACUUUUCUGCUCCAUCCAGGACACGUGCAAUGUCUACAAAGAGCAAGGGAUUCCAAAUGUCUGCUCCGGCCUAUCAUUCUUCAUCUAUCUGAGUAGCCCAACAUGAGCCUACAACAGAUACAAUUAAGCCAAGGAGAUCCAAGGACCCUGCCCAAAAGGGAAGAGAGUGGGAGGCCAAGUAUGAUAUGUUCUCUCUAGUCCCAUUGCCCAGUUUUGAUCAGGCACACCCUGAUCUCUCAACUCAUGCACAAGAGUUUUAACCUAGUCCCACCCAGGUGGGAGCCCCUUGAGCACCCACAGACUUGGACUGCCUCCUCCCAUGAUCAAGUUCUUUAUAAUUCAUCUGGAUCCCACAGUUUAACAUUUAAAUGAUUUCUACUUUUGAUUAUUUUGUUUCAUCUGUAGAAUUUAUCUUCCCACCUAGAAUGUAAAAUCCAGGAAGCUUGAGGCCACAUCUCAACAUUUUUCUAUUUCUCCCUGCAGGAUCCCAGUUCUCUGGGGUAGAUACAGUGUGACAUUGUAUUGAAUAAAAAUCGUUUUUGCUCCCACUCACCCC
Ictidomys tridecemlineatus (thirteen-lined ground squirrel) is the source of this 1443-nucleotide non-coding RNA. The record is from RefSeq and is a predicted model, not a curated record. NCBI's taxonomy places the organism in Eukaryota, Metazoa, Chordata, Mammalia, Rodentia, Sciuridae.